Molecule: non-coding RNA, 30 nt
Filed under: Rattus norvegicus (Norway rat)
Lineage: Eukaryota; Metazoa; Chordata; Mammalia; Rodentia; Muridae
Source: RNAcentral
UAGGCCUUGGAUCUGAUGGAGAACAUUUGU